Acanthosepion pharaonis is the source of this 110-nucleotide non-coding RNA. NCBI's taxonomy places the organism in Eukaryota, Metazoa, Mollusca, Cephalopoda, Sepiida, Sepiidae. The record is from the annotation of a GenBank genome assembly.
CACUCAAAUCAUACUGAAGACACCGGUUCUCGUUCGACUGCUGAAGUUAAGAAAUGUCGAGCCCGAUCAGUGCUUAAAUGAGUGACCGCUUGAGAACACCGAGUACUGCA